This 253-nucleotide ribosomal RNA is filed under the name uncultured bacterium. Its description in RNAcentral is "partial 16S ribosomal RNA". It matches the Rfam family "Bacterial small subunit ribosomal RNA", at positions 524 to 776 of the family's 1533-position model. The record is from RNAcentral.
UACGUAGGUGGCAAGCGUUGUCCGGAAUUAUUGGGCGUAAAGCGCGCGUAGGUGGCUUCGUAAGUCCGUUGUGAAAGUCAAAGGCUCAACCUUUGAAAGCCGAUGGAUACUGCGGAGCUAGAGUACGGAAGAGGCGAGUGGAAUUCCUGGUGUAGCGGUGGAAUGCGCAGAUAUCAGGAGGAACACCAAUAGCGAAGGCAGCUCGCUGGGACGGUACUGACGCUGAGGCGCGAAAGCGUGGGGAGCAAACAGG